This is a small nuclear RNA of Ochotona curzoniae (black-lipped pika), 107 nucleotides long. The record is from RefSeq and is a predicted model, not a curated record. Lineage: Eukaryota; Metazoa; Chordata; Mammalia; Lagomorpha; Ochotonidae.
GUGCUCGCUUUGGCAGCCCAUAUACUAAAAUUAGAAUGAUACAGAGAAGAUUAGCAUUGCCCCUGCGCAAGGAUGACGAAUAAUGCCAGGAAAUCCCUUGAAUAGAC